This 483-nucleotide ribosomal RNA is filed under the name uncultured bacterium. Its description in RNAcentral is "partial 16S ribosomal RNA". It matches the Rfam family "Bacterial small subunit ribosomal RNA", at positions 28 to 507 of the family's 1533-position model. The record is from RNAcentral.
AUUGAACGCUGGCGGCAUGCUUUACACAUGCAAGUCGAACGGCAGCGCGGGCUUCGGCCUGGCGGCGAGUGGCGAACGGGUGAGUAAUGCAUCGGAACGUGCCCAGUAGUGGGGGAUAGCCCGGCGAAAGCCGGAUUAAUACCGCAUACGACCUGAGGGUGAAAGCGGGGGACCGAAAGGCCUCGCGCUAUUGGAGCGGCCGAUGUCGGAUUAGCUAGUUGGUGGGGUAAAGGCUUACCAAGGCGACGAUCCGUAGCUGGUCUGAGAGGACGACCAGCCACACUGGGACUGAGACACGGCCCAGACUCCUACGGGAGGCAGCAGUGGGGAAUUUUGGACAAUGGGGGCAACCCUGAUCAGCCAUGCCGCGUGCGGGAAGAAGGCCUUCGGGUUGUAAACCGCUUUUGUUCGGGAAGAAAUCCUCUGGGCUAAUACCCCGGGGGGAUGACGGUACCGGAAGAAUAAGCACCGGCUAACUACGUG